UACGAAGGGUGCAAACGUUGCUCGGAAUUAUUGGGCGUAAAGGGCGCGUAGGCGGCUUGGCAAGUGGAUGGUGAAAUCCCUCGGCUUAACCGAGGAACUGCCGUCCAAACUGCUUCGCUUGAGACCAGGAGAGGUGAGUGGAAUUCCGAGUGUAGAGGUGAAAUUCGUAGAUAUUCGGAAGAACACCAGUGGCGAAGGCGGCUCACUGGACUGGUAUUGACGCUGAGGUGCGAAAGCGUGGGGAGCAAACAGG
This 253-nucleotide ribosomal RNA is filed under the name uncultured bacterium. RNAcentral describes it as "partial 16S ribosomal RNA". It matches the Rfam family "Bacterial small subunit ribosomal RNA", at positions 524 to 776 of the family's 1533-position model. The record is from RNAcentral.